This 88-nucleotide non-coding RNA is filed under the name uncultured Ferdinandcohnia sp. RNAcentral describes it as "Purine riboswitch". The stretch from base 18 to 82 matches the Rfam family "Purine riboswitch aptamer", at positions 21 to 85 of the family's 102-position model. Rfam says of the family: Riboswitches are metabolite binding domains within certain messenger RNAs that serve as precision sensors for their corresponding targets. Allosteric rearrangement of mRNA structure is mediated by ligand binding, and this results in modulation of gene expression. The record is from RNAcentral. Lineage: Bacteria; Bacillati; Bacillota; Bacilli; Caryophanales; Bacillaceae.
UUAAUAAUAUACAACCCCCGUAUAAUCCCGGUAAUAUGGUCUGGGAGUCUCUACAGAGUGGCCGUAAAUCACUCUACUAUGGACGGUG